AGUAUGUGUGCCACGUUAAGGAGGAUUGGUCUCUACUGUCUAUGGUUGCAUUGCCGGUCCCAAGCCCUGGUAAAGGAGGAGGGAGAAGGGCUUUAGAAUGAGAACAUUAACUAUGGAGAAGUUUGCUUCAGUGCCUUUUGGUGGUGGUGGUGGCUUUGCUGUGGCUGCAAGUGCCGGUGGUGGAGCUGGUGCUCCUGAAGCACUUGCUGCUGAGGCCAAGAAAGAAGAGAAAGUGGAGGAGAUACAGUUCUGAUGUCAGAGAGGUAAGAGCCAUUCCAAUAAUCCUACAUGAUUUUAUUCUUUAUGAAGAGCAUAUGUUUUGCAUAAUGCAGAGUAGUUUAUCCUACUUUAUAAAUUCUUUAUGUCAUGAUUGCUUUUACAAACCCCUCUUUUCACCCUAACCAUCCCCUCUCUCAAUCUCACGAAGCCUCCCCUCUCUCAUGCCAUCAUCCGCAUCCCUGCUGCUCGAUCGUGUCUCGUUUAGAUCAUACGUCUUUUCCUUUCUGUUGAGGAGAACCGUGGAAGGCAAUAGACUUUUCAGUUUCUGAGCAGUGUAAGAGCAGCAUAUUUGUUUGGUGUGGAUGCUUGUUGUCCAAACCUAAAGGCUUCUAAAUGCCACAUUAACGUGAAGGUACCUCACACCUCUGUAGGGUAGAAUUGGAAGUUUUCUUUGCAGGUAGCUAUCUUUUGACAGCUGGUAUUUACCAUUGCCACCAAUUUUCCUUGCAUACUAAAAGGAGGGGCCUAUAUUUUCCCCAGAUGGAAAGUUAUGAUAUAGUGGUUCUUGAUUCAAGAUUGUCUAUAGAGGACUUCAGAACACAGAGCAAUCAGGUAAAUCCAGUAAUAAUGGAUUACACUUGAAGUAAACUAAGAAAAAAGGAAAGUUAACCAAACUCUAUUGGCAUUGUUCAUCUACAAUUCCUCAUUAGACUACAUCUUUAAUGAGUUCACUGUGAAACUACCUAUCAGUCCGUGACUUAGAUUCUUGACAGCUUUACUGCAAACAGUUAUGAUGCUGAAAAUUCAGAAGGGGUAGAGUAUUUGGAGGGCAAUGACAUCUCAUCUGUUGCGGAUCAGAUAGGUUUGAUUCCAAGGAUUGCUUCUUUGUUUCUGUUUGAUCGUGGUCUGACAUUGAUGGUCUAUCCAAUCAUUUCAACUAAUGGUGGAUUCCUUAACAGAUACAGGUUGUACACCAUUUCCAUUGGCCACUUGUUCUCAGCCCCUUGUUCUUGUUGGAGACAGCAGCUGUACAUUGACUUCAUCAAUGGAGCAGAACACAUUAACCAAGGAACAGGAAAAUACAGAAAAGUACAAGUGAAUGGCCCACAGAGCAUCGUCUAGUAGCGACUUGCUACUAACAAUGCCAGUAUGCAAUUUAUGUCCGAACAGCAAGCUGUUUCAUAUUUCUGGUGUACCAUUGGCUACUCAUCCAGAUUUGGAUCCAUAUUUUCAAAGAAUUGCAGAUGGAGACUUGUCACCUAUACUUACUGGGAGACCCAUAACAACCAUAUCAUUAAGUUCUGGUACUACACAGGGAAAGCCCAAUUUUGUUCCAUUUAAUGAGGAAUUGAUGAAAUCGACGUUGUAGAUAUUUCGUAUGUCCUAUGCUUUCAGAAACAGUUGUUUACAGGUAAGUAAAAUUGCUGAAAAGCUGUGAAUUGCAGCUGCGCUUCUAGCUAACUCACUUGUGACUUACAACUUUGCUUCUCAAUCACUCACUGAAGAAAAUAAUAUGGCAGGUGCUGGCGAAUUCCGUUGCUGGGAAGACCUGAUACCAGAUGCUCUUGGCCUGAUCUUUAGCCAUCUCUCUCUUCAAGAGAUCUUGACCGUUGUUCCAACGGUCUGCAAGUCUUGGGCUAUAGCAGUUUCAGGGCCUUACUGCUGGUAAGAUACAGACAUUGAGGAAUGGAGCCUCCAGCGUAAGCCAGAGCAACUGGAUCAAAUGCUUCAGAUGCUUGUCACCAGAAGCUGUAGUUUCGGUCAUCGGCUCUCCAUCUUCGGCCUCCCCAACGACGUCGUCUUCUCUUUCAUCGCUGACCGGUAAGUGGAAACACUCCCAUCGGGAUCACAUUUCCUCAAUUCGAGAUUUCUAUGGUUCAUUUCAGUUAAACUACGAUAGGGUUCUUAGAUUCAUAGAUUGUUGUUUUGGGUGUUUGUUUCAUUGUACAACUGUUGUUUUGUAUUGUUUCAUGAAAUGCAAAGUACUGGAGCCUUUUUUUAAUUACAUUAUGCUUUAUUCUCUUCAUGCGCCUUUAAAAUUUUUGUGAUGAGGAAUGACAACGGUAAUCAAGAGUUGGAAUUUAGGCAUAGGAAAAAAAAAGUAAUUUCUUGAUGUAUGAAUGCACCAGCAUGAGUUUUGGCCCAUGCCACACUGACUGAGGUGCAACAUUCUUUAUAUGUGUGAAAUUCUGGUCAGUCAUCCAAGCCAUCGGUAUGAUGC
Long non-coding RNA from Magnolia sinica, 2440 nucleotides. RefSeq lists it as uncharacterized. The record is from RefSeq and is a predicted model, not a curated record. The transcript is spliced from 8 exons. Lineage: Eukaryota; Viridiplantae; Streptophyta; Magnoliopsida; Magnoliales; Magnoliaceae.